Molecule: ribosomal RNA, 470 nt
Filed under: uncultured Novosphingobium sp.
Lineage: Bacteria; Pseudomonadati; Pseudomonadota; Alphaproteobacteria; Sphingomonadales; Sphingomonadaceae
Description: bacterial SSU rRNA
Rfam family: Bacterial small subunit ribosomal RNA
Source: RNAcentral
UAGAGUUUGAUUGGCUCAGAACGAACGCUGGCGGCAUGCCUAACACAUGCAAGUCGAACGAACCCUUCGGGGUUAGUGGCGCACGGGUGCGUAACGCGUGGGAAUCUGCCCUUUGCUUCGGAAUAACUCAGGGAAACUUGUGCUAAUACCGGAUGAUGUCUUCGGACCAAAGAUUUAUCGGCAAGGGAUGAGCCCGCGUAGGAUUAGGUAGUUGGUGGGGUAAAGGCCUACCAAGCCGACGAUCCUUAGCUGGUCUGAGAGGAUGAUCAGCCACACUGGGACUGAGACACGGCCCAGACUCCUACGGGAGGCAGCAGUGGGGAAUAUUGGACAAUGGGCGCAAGCCUGAUCCAGCAAUGCCGCGUGAGUGAUGAAGGCCCUCGGGUCGUAAAGCUCUUUUACCAGGGAUGAUAAUGACAGUACCUGGAGAAUAAGCUCCGGCUAACUCCGUGCCAGCGCCGCGGUAAUAC